RNAcentral lists this ribosomal RNA (500 nucleotides) under uncultured Glomeromycotina. RNAcentral's name for it is "partial small subunit ribosomal RNA". It matches the Rfam family "Eukaryotic small subunit ribosomal RNA", at positions 591 to 1092 of the family's 1831-position model. Lineage: Eukaryota; Fungi; Glomeromycota. The record is from RNAcentral.
CCAAUAGCGUAUAUUAAAGUUGUUGCAGUUAAAAAGCUCGUAGUUGAAUUUCGGGGUCAGUAGGUUGGUCAUGCCACUGGUAUGUACUGGUCUCACUGAUUCCUCCUUCCUGAUGAACUGUAAUGCCAUUAAUUUGGUGUUGCAGGGAAUCUGGACUGUUACUUUGAAAAAAUUAGAGUGUUUAAAGCAGGCUAACGCCUGAAUACAUUAGCAUGGAAUAAUGAAAUAGGACGUUCGAUCCUAUUUUGUUGGUUUCUAGGAUUGACGUAAUGAUUAAUAGGGAUAGUUGGGGGCAUUAGUAUUCAAUUGUCAGAGGUGAAAUUCUUGGAUUUAUUGAAGACUAACUACUGCGAAAGCAUUUGCCAAGGAUGUUUUCAUUAAUCAAGAACGAAAGUUAGGGGAUCGAAGACGAUCAGAUACCGUCGUAGUCUUAACCAUAAACUAUGCCGACUGGGGAUCGGAUGAUGUUAAUUUUUUAAUGACUCAUUCGGCGCCUUACG